Molecule: ribosomal RNA, 552 nt
Filed under: uncultured bacterium
Lineage: Bacteria
Description: partial 16S ribosomal RNA
Rfam family: Bacterial small subunit ribosomal RNA
Source: RNAcentral
UGGGGAAUAUUGCACAAUGGGCGAAAGCCUGAUGCAGCAACGCCGCGUGAGUGAUGAAGGUCUUCGGAUUGUAAAGCUCUGUCUUUUGGGACGAUAAUGACGGUACCAAAGGAGGAAGCCACGGCUAACUACGUGCCAGCAGCCGCGGUAAUACGUAGGUGGCGAGCGUUGUCCGGAUUUACUGGGCGUAAAGGGUGCGUAGGCGGAUGUUUAAGUGAGAUGUGAAAUACCCGGGCUUAACUUGGGUGCUGCAUUUCAAGCUGGAUAUCUAGAGUGCAGGAGAGGAGAAUGGAAUUCCUAGUGUAGCGGUGAAAUGCGUAGAGAUUAGGAAGAACACCAGUGGCGAAGGCGAUUCUCUGGACUGUAACUGACGCUGAGGCACGAAAGCGUGGGUAGCAAACAGGAUUAGAUACCCUGGUAGUCCACGCCGUAAAACGAUGAGUACUAGGUGUAGGAGGUAUCGACCCCUUCUGUGCCGCAGUAAACACAUUAAGUACUCCGCCUGGGAAGUACGAUCGCAAGAUUAAAACUCUAAAGUGAAUUGACGGGGUC